GAAGCUGACACGCAAUAUGUUGCAGGCAUACAGCCCAAUUAGAAGCAUUACUGGCAGUAUCAAUUGGAAGUACAUAGUUCAGCUGAACAAUGUCUAAAAGAAAAGAGGACUACAUGUUGCCAACCGAGUCACAGAUAAGCAUGUGAACUUUGCUAAUCAGAAGACGAAGGUCUCCCUGGCUGCUCAGACUUUUACUAACUCUGUGGCAGUGGCGCUCCGCACCUUGCAGGACAUGGGCUAUGCAGAGUU
Molecule: long non-coding RNA, 249 nt
Organism: Scomber scombrus (Atlantic mackerel)
Lineage: Eukaryota; Metazoa; Chordata; Actinopteri; Scombriformes; Scombridae
Exons: 3
Source: RefSeq, a predicted model, not a curated record